This is a long non-coding RNA of Mustela erminea (ermine), 6619 nucleotides long. RefSeq lists it as uncharacterized. The transcript has 2 exons. NCBI's taxonomy places the organism in Eukaryota, Metazoa, Chordata, Mammalia, Carnivora, Mustelidae. The record is from RefSeq and is a predicted model, not a curated record.
UGGUGGGGGAAACUAGGGAGACUUUUUCCCCGGGGAGGAUCCGGCCCCGCGCGGGGAGCGCAGCAAGAUUUCGCGCGCCGCACGCGUCUACACUCUCCUGCGCUUUGCAGCAGGACCGCGGGAGGGGGAGCCGCAGAAAAGCCCGGGAGGAUUGGUUGUUUGUUUAACAGGCCUGGGAGUGGGAUUUAUUUCACGCACCCAACCUUAAAAGUUUUUCAUAAAGAAAACCCGAGCCCUCGUGAAUGCCCUUUCCAGUCCGCCCUCCUCCCGCCCAAUUAAAAAAAAAAAUCAUUAACGCACCAAUUUCCACGCGCGCUCUGAACUAGGGGGCACACACACACCCCUAGACACUUGAACAAUGAUGAAAAAAAGUUACUUUGGCAAGAAUGAAGGUAAAGAAAUGGGGGAGGCGACACUUUUAACUUCUUGUUGCUUCUCCCCCGCCCCCACGGGAACGGAACAUAUGGCUUGUCACGCUGCGCUGUUUUGGCGGGGUGGGGGGAGGACGGUAGUAGCAGAUCCUCGAAACCGAAAGCCCCCUCCCCAAUGGAUUACUCCUUUUAAGACUGUUAUAUAUUUACUGUUAGGUUCGCAUGCCUCUCCAUCCACCCAAAUACAAAGUUAAAGUGUCGCCCACGGCCCCCGCCCCGGUGCUGGAGCGAAGACCCAGGCGGAAAUCGCGGGGCUAUGUUUCUUUCCUAUUUCCCCGCGUGCCGGCCGCCUCCUCAGCCCUCGCACGUUUCUUCCCAGCACUCGAGGCCGCCGGGUCUGUUAUGAAACCCCGAGCGCUGAGUGGCUAAGAGCGGGUUCCAUUGCGAUGUAAUUAGGUCACCCCAUUAUGAGCACGUUUCUUUGGAAAGGACAGGGCGGGCGGAGCAGAGCGCUCGAGUCGCGCUCUCACCACCACCACCCACCCACCCACCCACACACGCAUUUUUAUUACAUUUCUGAUGUAUUCGUCAACCUCCGAGCGGACCCAGGGAAACCUUCCAAAUCACAACGAAAGGAACCGGUUGUUUUUCAUCUUUCAGAAACACACAACAACUGCUGCAGCCACGAAUCUACGCGAUCCUAGCCCGGUCUGCUGUUAUAUGCCCCUCUGACUUAAACUGAUGACGGCCCCCAUUUUUGACCUGGAUGCUGCCCCUCGCCUUGCCUUCUGCUGCUGUCCAGCCUCCUGUUGCUUCCCCCCCCCCCCACCACCACCACGCCCCGUUCCCAUUUUUCAGCUUUUCUUGAAAUCUGGCAAGCGCCAGAAAGGGAAAUAACUUCCAUCCACCUUAAUUUAAAUCAUUCAAGUGUAAGUUUCUUUCUUAAAGGAGUGUUUGCUCGCUCCUUUCCCCAUGCUCCCCCUCCAAGUCGGGGAGGGGGGGGCGUCGAGCAGUUUCUUGGUGAUGAGGUAAUGAGUUCCAGAUUUCAGGACAGAGCAGGCUGCGCGUUAAAACCACAAGGUUAGUCUGCGUCCUGAUGUGAAGCUAUUUCGUCUUUUUAUCUCCCUCCCCCUCCCACCUCCAAAAAAGGCCCAUUGGUCUUUAACUCUGGAGGGUUCGCGAAGCUCUGCUGGGGGGAACGGAGGAGGGGUGGAGAAGCGAGGGAGAAGGGGGCCCCGGAGCGGGUGGGGCCGCCUUCCCGGCCCCAGGCCCGGCCCGCACCCGCUGUCCCCCUGCGGCUGCAGGGCCAGCCAGAAGUAUCGUCACGUUGCCCGGCGCCGCAAGCUAGCGAAAAAGUCUUUAUUCUUUUUUUUUUUUCUUUUUCUCCCCCCACCCCCACCCCACCCCCAAAGAGAUCGCCGAUUCCUCGAAUUUCCUCCGCUUUUCCAACUCCCGGCCGCCGAUCCCCUCCCCCGCUCCCGUGGCGCGGGCUAGGCGGGGCGGCGGCCUGGCCCGCUCGCUCCGGAGUUGUUUACCGGCCCCGCCGACCCACCGAGUUUGUUCCAGCUCCCAGAGCCUGUCUCUAUAAUUAAACUCUUUUUUAAUUGUCGGGUUGAAACGUCAUUUCGGGGACUUUCCAAGGGUGAGGGAGCCGCGGGGAGGGAGCGAGCCUCCUUAACCCUUCGCUGACCCGGCGGGCCGGGGAGCCGCGUCCAGCCGGGCCGAAGUGGGCUGGGAGUCUGGGGACCGGAGUCGGCCCGCCCCGGCCGGACGUGCUGUGCAGGUGCCCGAAGGCAGCGAGGAUGGCCGCCAGCCCCGACCGCGGCAGGAAGCCCUGCGAGAGCCGUGCGCCGCCCUCCCCGCCUCCUUUGCGAGGCAGUAGGCGCUCGGGUUCCUAACUCGCGCCGGGUCUGGAGAGGCUGCCCCUUCACCUGCACUGCCGCUUCCGACCGGGAGGCGGUCGCCCGGGUCCUCCGUUUCAGGCCCGACUUCCGGGCCCUCCUGGCUCCCUCGCAGCCGAUAUCCUCGCGAGGAAGGCCUAGCCAGGUACUUUUGGCUUGGAGGUGUUAGGUUUCGUUCAAGGAGAAAAGUGAAAGUCCUCGGAAUGAGGGAAGCGCGACGGACGUAUUCAUGGGCCAGUCUGGACCGUGGGCCCUCCCCACAGCAGCAGAACGUUGGACAUUGAUAAGGAUGAUGAGGCACGGAGGCGACCAGGCAGGAGAGCCAGGGGUAGAGAAGGCAAGGGAGACCUCGAUGGCACUCGCGGAGCAGCACGUGGCCACCAUCCCCAUGGGGCCCAGGAGAGGACGGUGCAGCCGGAUGGACAUCCAGUGGGGGCUCUGGGGCCCCAGCAUCCCAGGUAUGCAUCGACAAAGUCGCUUCUCAGCCAGGCCCACCCCAGAGCUCAGCCCGGCCCCAGUGGCACCGAGAGCCCGGGGUGGGAGGCAAGCAUGGGUCGGGGGUGGGGAGGGUGGUGGACGGCCAGAUGGACUCCAGUCGCUCUGCCUCAGACAGCUGGGGAGCAGAGCAAGGACGCGCCUCUCUGUCACUCCACAUGGGAGGGGCGCGGCUGCGACUUCUAGAGUUUCUCCGCCACCACACCCUUCGAGAAGUGCCACCUGCUUCUAUCAGUUUGAGGCUGAGCCUUAGGGCCUCCCACAGGUGGGGUCUGUGUUGCUCCUCAGUGACCAGCCACCUUUAAGACACCUUGAGAUGAACAGCCACUACUUCCAUUCUCCUGGAAACCUGAAAACGCCCCCUGGCUGGGCUGGGUUGGGGGUGUUGGGAGGGGGUCUUCAGCCAGAGAGCAACUCUCAAAGGACACCCAGACUCCCACAAGAGGCAGCCCCCCAUACUGCAAGUCCUCCCACCCACAGCACAGAGCUUUGCUAGAAAUGCAUUCCCCAUGCACCUCCCCAGAGCGCCCACCUUUAGGGGGAAUCCCGGUGAAUCCCCCACCUGUCCACUCCAAGAGGGGCGGAUUCCACGGCCUCCCUGAGCAAUGGGGCCCAGGCCCACACACCGUGGAGGAAACACCAUCUGCCCCAACCUUCAGCUCCAGCCUGGCAGCCCAUGUGAACCCUCGCAGCGGGGAGAGGAACCCUGUCCCCAGCCCCGCCCCGCCUCCAGAAGGGGGCUCCUCUCCCAGGGACACCAGGGCUGCGGGAGAAUCUUCUGAUGCUCAGGUCAUCUUCUGCCGCCGUGGCUCUGCCUGCCGGCUGUGGCCUCCUUCUUGCCAGCUCGGCUGAAAGAAAUGAGCAAGAAUAAAGCCUAAACCUGUGUGGCCCAAAGGAAAGCUUGAGGGGAACGCAUGGAUGCUGAAAGAAAAGGGGGAAAGAGCGACAAGAAAGAGGAGAGGAGGGGAACUCGGGAAACAGACAAAAUAAACCAUCCAGGAAUCCAGAUGUAAAACAAGGAGGCCAAAAGAAAAAAGAAAAAUUACGCUAAGAAGGCAGAGUCGGGUGGAGAAGGAACUUGAGAAGGAAAAAGAAGAGGAGGCAGUUAUAAAUAUUCUGAAAAGAGAAGAAUGGGAACGCAAACAACACCAGAAAAAUAAAUAAUAAUAAAAUAAAAUAAAAUAGAGACCCAGGAGGGAAAGAGAGGCAGCAAUGAGUUUAAAACUGCUUCGACCCCCAACCAACUGCACUGGGUAAACGCUCUGAGUCUUCGUGCAUUUUAUGACGUCAGACACUUCUAACACUGAGCAGAGGACAGUCCCAGAAAAGCAAGCUUUCUUGCAGGCUCUUGUUUGUCCUACAAUUCCCCAGCUCACCCCCACCAUUGGUCUUUUUCAGGGGGAGAGCUCUUCUUCCCAGGGUGAGGCCAAAAUCCACUCCAGGUCGCGCUCGAGUCUGGUGGCUUCCAUCGUGGUGCCCUCUGCAGGGCCCUCUGGGGGAUCCGAGCAGGAGGAGCCUGGUGACGGAGAAGCACUGGGUGUGAUGCGGCUGUGCCACGAGCUUUUCCUCUCCUAGGGAGGGCUUUUCCCAGACACCUCUCUGUGGACCAGGGCUAACCCAGCCCUCAGACACAGCAGGGGUGCCUGGAAGCAGGCUUGCCGGCCUCUGUGCAGAGCCAGAGGAGUCCCAGCAAAUGCAACUUUUAGAAACAACUUAGAUGAUUUAAAAUUGUUUCCAGGCAUUCCCAACAGGACCUAAAGAUAGCUACAGUUUUCUCAUUGCUAGGGUGGCAAACAGCUUAGUUUCUUGAAGUUCACCUUCAGUGCCUUAUAGUCCCCUUAUAAAUCCCAGGAACUCUUGCAGAAGACGCUGGUUCCUCUCCCUUUGUCUGCUGGGCCUUUCAGCCUUCUCUUGCCCCUCUUUCUCUCUGUGAGUCAGCCAGUGUCUCUCCUCUGUGUCUGCCUAGGCCGUUCAUUUCCCUUUAUCCCACCUACCUCUGCCCCCGCGUCCAUUUCCCUAGGGCCACAGGCCUCAGGGAGUGAACUGAAGCAAACCAAGGCAAAAUCAAGAAAUAAAGGAAGUAAAAACGCGAGUUUGGUACAGCGCCCAGCAUUGGCAUGUCCAGGCCGUCUGCCGUGGAUGGGGAGGGCUGCUGGUGGACAGAGCCCCAAGCUCACCAGGCCUCCUAAAACUGAUUCCCCCAAAAUUCAGCCAAGGGGAAACCACGCUGGCCGAGCUCUGAUUGACUGGGCCAAAGGAAACUAUGCCCACUCAGGUUCUUCUCCCCAAGAAUUCUUAAGUACUUGACCCCGGUUUCUCUACAUUCCAAAAGUCACAUUUUUCUUCUAUCAAAAACUGAGGGAUGUGGCCACACAUAGAGCAGGGAUCACAUCUUGGUUAUAGCCUUGGAAACUCACCCGAUUUCUUCUCAUCCCUCUUCAUCCUCCAACCUGCCACAGUCAAACAAUCUAUGACUCAAACUAUUAUUUAACCGUGAAAAAAGACAAACCAGGAAACUAGAGGCUGAAUGACUUAAAAUUUAUUCCAUUCAACUGAGCUAAUCUCCUGAGAAGGGUGUGUAUAGUAAGAAGUCAGGCUCUAUCUCUGGCAGAUGUGAACAUAGCAGGGAAAGGUACACGGUGGUUGAAGGUCCCAACCUGUUGAGAUCUGCCCUCAAAAGGGUAAGCGCCUGGUCCUGGGCCACACAACUAAGCAGUUUGCCAAACCAGUCUUAACACUUGGGAAACAACGAAGAGUAGCCCAUGUUUCAAGGUUGACCGCAGUCAAAUUCCAGCACUGUCACUGCCUAGGCAAGCAAGGGACUUACCUGUCUCCUGUGGUCUCCUCCGCUAGGAAAUGGCAGUGACAGCAACCCCCAUCUCCUGGGGCUGUGGCCAUGAGGACAGACGAGCAAGGCGCUUGGCCCAUGUGACCAGCUCCCCCUCCCCACAAGCACCCCUAGUCAACUGUUGCUGUAUGUUCAGCAGCAAAUUGGCAAGACCAAGGAAGAAGGCCGGAGGCCCCACAAAGUGGGGUUCCACGGAGUCACUGGAACACAGUCAAGUAUCCUGAGCAAGAGAGGAGAGGGUCCCAGAGGAGGCCCAGGCAGCUGGCGGGUGGAGCACUGUGCAGAGAGCCAAGGACAGCCACUCACAGCGUGGGUGGGAGAACGCAGGGGGCUGCGCUCCAGUCCUCCCGCAUUAGCUCAACUCGGCUGCAUCCCCACCCUUGCAUGUGUUCAUCCUUCCGUGAGCCCCAGCACGUAGUUACCUGGCACCCACUACGUGCACAGCCCCGGCCAGGCCAAGGGUGGCAGGGGGAGCAAGCUUACGCGGGGAUCACGAGCCUCAGAAACUUCCUAACCGGGCAUUUCCAUCCAAGUUCAGAGAUCUGUCCUUUUAGGAGCUGGAGUGUAAGGAUAUGACCAAAUGCUGAGAAAUUCUCAUUUCAGGGCCAAUUUUCUUUCUUAAAGUAGAAAAGCAAAGAGUUCAAAAAUGUUCCAGAAAUGGGAACACUCACUUAAUCUUGUUAACAUUUAAGGGGUAUUGUUAAUUUUUAGGUGAAAUAAAGACAGGGUGGCUAAAUUUAACAAGCUCCCCCCCUUUUUUAGAGAUACAUGAAGAAAUGCUGCAGAUGAGAUGGUAUGCCUGUGACACAGGAUUUGCUUCAGUGUGAUGUGGGAGGUGGGGAGGCAGUUGGUGGUGUCCGUGGACGAGCUUGGCCAAGAGUCAGUCACGUUGGGGAUGAGUAUGUGGGGCUUCAUUGUACUUCUCUGUCUCCUCCUGUAUAUGUUUGAAAUUUUCCACAAUUAAAUGUCUGAAGUUCAUAAAAGCUGAAAUGUUUUUAACUCGG